AUUGAACGCUGGCGGCAGGCCUAACACAUGCAAGUCGAACGGUAACAGGAAGAAGCUUGCUUCUUUGCUGACGAGUGGCGGGCGGGUGAGUAAUGUCUGGGAAACUGCCUGAUGGAGGGGGAUAACUACUGGAAACGGUAGCUACUACCGCAUAACGUCGCAAGACCAAAGAGGGGGACCUUCGGGCCUCUUGCCAUCGGAUGUGCCCAGAUGGGAUUAGCUAGUAGGUGGGGUAACGGCUCACCUAGGCGACGAUCCCUAGCUGGUCUGAGAGGAUGACCAGCCACACUGGAACUGAGACACGGUCCAGACUCCUACGGGAGGCAGCAGUGGGGAAUAUUGCGCAAUGGGCGCAAGCCUGAUGCAGCCAUGCCGCGUGUAUGAAGAAGGCCUUCGGGUUGUAAAGUACUUUCAGCGGGGAGGAAGGGAGUAAAGUUAAUACCUUUGCUCAUUGACGUUACCCGCAGAAGAAGCACCGGCUAACUCCGUG
RNAcentral lists this ribosomal RNA (490 nucleotides) under uncultured bacterium. RNAcentral describes it as "partial 16S ribosomal RNA". It matches the Rfam family "Bacterial small subunit ribosomal RNA", at positions 30 to 507 of the family's 1533-position model. The record is from RNAcentral.